CAGCCGCCACGGUAAUACGUAGGGUGCAAGCGUUAACCGGAAUUACUGGGCGUAAAGCGUGCGCAGGCGGUAAUGUAAGACAGAUGUGAAAUCCCCGGGCUCAACCUGGGAACUGCAUUUGUGACUGCAUUGCUGGAGUGCGGCAGAGGGGGAUGGAAUUCCGCGUGUAGCAGUGAAAUGCGUAGAUAUGCGGAGGAACACCGAUGGCGAAGGCAAUCCCCUGGGCCUGCACUGACGCUCAUGCACGAAAGCGUGGGGAGCAAACAGGAUUAGAUACCCGAGUAGUCCCUGUCUCUUAUAC
RNAcentral lists this ribosomal RNA (301 nucleotides) under uncultured bacterium. RNAcentral describes it as "partial 16S ribosomal RNA". It matches the Rfam family "Bacterial small subunit ribosomal RNA", at positions 509 to 807 of the family's 1533-position model. The record is from RNAcentral.